AUACGAGGGGUGCAAGCGUUAAUCGGAAUUACUGGGCGUAAAGCGUUCGUAGGCGGUUUGUUAAGCAAGAUGUGAAAGCCCUGGGCUCAACCUGGGAACUGCAUUUUGAACUGGCAAGCUAGAAUACUGUAGAGGGUGGUGGAAUUUCCAGUGUAGCGGUGAAAUGCGUAGAGAUUGGAAGGAACAUCAGUGGCGAAGGCGGCCACCUGGACAGAUAUUGACGCUGAGGAACGAAAGCGUGGGGAGCAAACAGGAUUAGAAACCCCGGUAGUCC
RNAcentral lists this ribosomal RNA (274 nucleotides) under uncultured bacterium. Its description in RNAcentral is "partial 16S ribosomal RNA". It matches the Rfam family "Bacterial small subunit ribosomal RNA", at positions 523 to 796 of the family's 1533-position model. The record is from RNAcentral.